AGGGAUGUGGCUCAGUGGUAAAGCACUCAUCUAGCAUACCUGAGGCCCUGAGUUCAAUCCUCAGCAUUGCCC
RNAcentral lists this transfer RNA (72 nucleotides) under Ictidomys tridecemlineatus (thirteen-lined ground squirrel). RNAcentral's name for it is "Spermophilus tridecemlineatus (thirteen-lined ground squirrel) tRNA". It matches the Rfam family "tRNA". Rfam says of the family: Transfer RNA (tRNA) molecules are approximately 80 nucleotides in length. Their secondary structure includes four short double-helical elements and three loops (D, anti-codon, and T loops). The record is from Rfam by way of RNAcentral. Lineage: Eukaryota; Metazoa; Chordata; Mammalia; Rodentia; Sciuridae.